Piliocolobus tephrosceles (Ugandan red Colobus) is the source of this 509-nucleotide long non-coding RNA. RefSeq lists it as uncharacterized. NCBI's taxonomy places the organism in Eukaryota, Metazoa, Chordata, Mammalia, Primates, Cercopithecidae. The record is from RefSeq and is a predicted model, not a curated record. The transcript is spliced from 3 exons.
GCCCGCGACUAGUGAGACGGGAAGCGCCUGGGACAAAACUCUCCUAGCCACGGGCCGCGGAGGCUGUUUUGGAGGCAAGUCGCUGUUUUUCGGUACACUGCUGGUUAACUGCUCCAAAAGAGGACAACCGAGGAUCUGGAGUGAGCAACGAAGCAGAGAAAAGGAGAGGGCCUUUCGGACAAGGGACUGGUUGGUUUGUUCUUGUGCAGAGAACCCACUCGGUCACUCUCAAGCGGUAGCUGUUUGGUUUGUCCUUUUGCAGUGUAUGCGGAGCCCCACUGUGUAACACGCACGUACUUCUAGCACAGAUCCUGCACUUCAGGAGCAACUAAACUUGUUGCAAAUAAAGUGCUGUCCGAGUUCAGAAGAGGAAGACAUUAGGAGGUACCAUAUCUGAAUUAAAGUACAAGUCCCAUCUUAAUGAAGAAAAUGGAUUGCUGAAGCAAAAAGUGUAUUCUGACUGGACACGGUGGCUCAUGCUUGUAAUCCCAGCACUUUUGGAGGCCGAG